Molecule: ribosomal RNA, 418 nt
Filed under: uncultured microorganism
Description: bacterial SSU rRNA
Rfam family: Bacterial small subunit ribosomal RNA
Source: RNAcentral
GAGUUUGAUCCUGGCUCAGAUUGAACGCUAGCGGCAGGCCUAACACAUGCAAGUCGAGCGGAUGAAGGGAGCUUGCUCCUGGAUUCAGCGGCGGACGGGUGAGUAAUGCCUAGGAAUCUGCCUGGUAGUGGGGGAUAACGUCCGGAAACGGGCGCUAAUACCGCAUACGUCCUGAGGGAGAAAGUGGGGGAUCUUCGGACCUCACGCUAUCAGAUGAGCCUAGGUCGGAUUAGCUAGUUGGUGGGGUAAAGGCUACCUAGGCGACGAUCCGUAACUGGUCUGAGAGGAUGAUCAGUCACACUGGAACUGAGACACGGUCCAGACUCCUACGGGAGGCAGCAGUGGGGAAUAUUGGACAAUGGGCGAAAGCCUGAUCCAGCCAUGCCGCGUGUGUGAAGAAGGUCUUCGGAUUGUAAAG